Molecule: ribosomal RNA, 162 nt
Filed under: Chaetosphaeriaceae sp.
Lineage: Eukaryota; Fungi; Ascomycota; Sordariomycetes; Chaetosphaeriales; Chaetosphaeriaceae
Description: partial large subunit ribosomal RNA
Rfam family: Eukaryotic large subunit ribosomal RNA
Source: RNAcentral
CGGCAACAGCUCAAAUUUGAAAUCUGGCUCUUUCAGGGUCCGAGUUGUAAUUUGCAGAGGACGCUUCAGGCGCGACGCCUUCCAAGUUCCCUGGAACGGGACGCCACAGAGGGUGAGAGCCCCGUACGGUUGGACGUCAAGCCUGUGUGAAGCUCCUUCGAC